UCUCUAACUGCGCAUCUGAGGAAGAAAACGUGUAAUUUGUUCUGUUGGUGGUGCUGGAUGAAGUUGUGGAGUGGACGGUCAUGGACAGAUACCUGAAACGAACAUCAAAUUCAGAGGAGAAUGUGGAGGAGCCAGCUCAAAAAAAGAAGCGUGAAGCUUCCAUUGCGUGGGAUCAUUUCAACAAAACGGCUGAGAAAACACACGGUGUGUGUAAGUAUUGUGGGAAAGCGAUACGCACAUUGGGAAACACAACAAACUUGCUCAACCACCUGAAUCACGUCCACCCAGAACGCAUAAAAAAUAUCAAGGGCAAAAAUCCUACAACCGCGUU
This is a long non-coding RNA of Drosophila rhopaloa, 331 nucleotides long. RefSeq lists it as uncharacterized. The transcript is spliced from 3 exons. The record is from RefSeq and is a predicted model, not a curated record. Lineage: Eukaryota; Metazoa; Arthropoda; Insecta; Diptera; Drosophilidae.